This 383-nucleotide ribosomal RNA is filed under the name uncultured bacterium. RNAcentral describes it as "bacterial SSU rRNA". It matches the Rfam family "Bacterial small subunit ribosomal RNA", at positions 30 to 395 of the family's 1533-position model. The record is from RNAcentral.
AGUGAACGCUGGCGGCAGGCCUAACACAUGCAAGUCGAGCGGCAGCGGGUUCCCGCGAGGGGAUGCCGGCGAGCGGCGGACGGGUGAGGAACACAUCGGAAUCUGCCUGGUUGUGGGGGAUAACGUAGGGAAACUUACGCUAAUACCGCAUGCGACCCUGAGUCGACGGACUGGGGGUGAAAGUGAGGGACCUUCGGGCCUCACGCGACCAGAUGAGCCGAUGUCGGAUUAGCUAGUUGGCGGGGUAACGGCCCGCCAAGGCGACGAUCCGUAGCUGGUCUGAGAGGAUGAUCAGCCACACUGGGACUGAGACACGGCCCAGACUCCUACGGGAGGCAGCAGUGGGGAAUCUUGGACAAUGGGCGCAAGCCUGAUCCAGCCAU